This 819-nucleotide small RNA is filed under the name Lachnum sp. FC-2253. Its description in RNAcentral is "eukaryotic LSU rRNA". The stretch from base 510 to 663 matches the Rfam family "5.8S ribosomal RNA". Lineage: Eukaryota; Fungi; Ascomycota; Leotiomycetes; Helotiales; Lachnaceae. The record is from RNAcentral.
UAUCCUUCCCGGUAACUUUCGGAAGCCUUUGCAACCCUAGAGGGGUCCGCGACUCUAAAUACUGGAUGCAAGUAGCCCCGUGCUGCAACAUGAUCGAAUUGCGGGGACGUCCUAAAACCUUCGGUACCACCGCCCCAGGGAAACCUGCGGCGGGUCUGCUCCGCGCAGAGGGUCACAACCCGGAGGAUGCUACAAUGGAUGAUCCGCAGCGAAGCCCCUCCCGGCGCCAGCCUACGGGGAACGUUCACAGACUAAGUGGUUGUGGGUAGGGUUCCGCCCUGCUUAAGAGAUAGUCGGACGCGGGAGGCGACUCCCGCGGCUCAUCGUUCCGUAGGUGAACCUGCGGAAGGAUCAUUACAGAGUACCUGCCCUCACGGGUAGCGCUCCCACCCUUGAAUACAUAAUUGUCUGUUGCUUUGGCGGGCCGCGAGCAUGCUCGCCCUGUGUGCCCGCCAGAGGACCUCGAAACUCUGAAUGUCAGUGUCGUCUGAGUACUAUCUAAUAGUUAAAACUUUCAACAACGGAUCUCUUGGUUCUGGCAUCGAUGAAGAACGCAGCGAAAUGCGAUAAGUAAUGUGAAUUGCAGAAUUCAGUGAAUCAUCGAAUCUUUGAACGCACAUUGCGCCCCUUGGUAUUCCGGGGGGCAUGCCUGUUCGAGCGUCAUUAUGACCAAUCCAGCGUGCUGGGUCUUGGGCCGCGCCUCCCUGGCGGGCCUUAAAAUCAGUGGCGGUGCUCUCCAGCUCUACGCGUAGUAAUCAUUCUCGCGACAGGGCUGGGUGGGAUGCUGGCCAACAACCCCCAACUUUCUUAGGUUGACCU